AUAUGAGGCCUCGUAAUCGGAAUGAGUACACUUUAAAUACUUUAACGAGGAACAAUUGGAGGGCAAGUCUGGUGCCAGCAGCCGCGGUAAUUCCAGCUCCAAUAGCGUAUACUAAAAUUGUUGCGGUUAAAAAGCUCGUAGUUGCACCUGUGCGCCGCGCUGUCGGUGCACCGCAUCCGCGGUGACCACUGGCACGUCGCGGGGCAUCACGUCGGUGAGACUCCGGUAAAACGGAGGCUCAAUUGAAACAAUCCUAUCGCGGUGCUCUUAACCGAGUGUCGAGGUGGGCCGACAAUACUUACUUUGAACAAAUUAGAGUGCUCAAAGCGGGCUAAAAACGCCGCUCGAAUAUUUUUUGCAUGGAAUAAUGGAAUACGACCUCGGUUCUAUUUUGUUGGUUCUCGGAAUCCGAGGUAAUGAUUAAUAGGAACAACUGGGGGCAUUCGUAUUGCGACGUUAGAGGUGAAAUUCUUGGAUCGUCGCAAGACGGACUUCAGCGAAAGCAUUUGCCAAAGGUGUUUUCAUCAAUCAAGAACGAAAGUUAGAGGUUCGAAGGCGAUUAGAUACCGCCCUAGUUCUAACCAUAAACGUUGCCACCUGGCGAUCCGCCGACGUUACUAUAAUGGCUCGGCGGGCGGCCUCCGGGAAACCAAAGUUUUUGGGCUCCGGGGGAAGUAUGGUUGCAAAGCUGAAACUUAAAGGAA
Molecule: ribosomal RNA, 704 nt
Filed under: Eriocrania sp. ER01
Lineage: Eukaryota; Metazoa; Arthropoda; Insecta; Lepidoptera; Eriocraniidae
Description: SSU rRNA
Rfam family: Eukaryotic small subunit ribosomal RNA
Source: RNAcentral